Molecule: ribosomal RNA, 345 nt
Filed under: uncultured soil bacterium
Lineage: Bacteria
Description: bacterial SSU rRNA
Rfam family: Bacterial small subunit ribosomal RNA
Source: RNAcentral
AGGACGAACGCUGGCGGCGUGCUUAACACAUGCAAGUCGAGCGGUAAGGCUCCUUCGGGAGUACACGAGCGGCGAACGGGUGAGUAACACGUGAGCAAUCUGCCCUUCUCAUCGGAAUAAGCGUUGGAAACGACGUCUAAUGCCGAAUACGACCUCCUUUCGCAUGAUCGGAGGUGGAAAGCUCCGGCGGAGAAGGAUGAGCUCGCGGCCUAUCAGCUAGUUGGUGUGGGUAAUGGCCCACCAAGGCGACGACGGGUAGCCGGCCUGAGAGGGUGACCGGCCACGACUGGGACUGAGACACGGCCCAGACUCCUACGGGAGCAGCAGUGGGGAAUAUUGGACAAU